This 341-nucleotide ribosomal RNA is filed under the name uncultured vent bacterium. RNAcentral describes it as "partial 16S ribosomal RNA". The record is from RNAcentral.
UUUUGGGGGGGGCUACAAAAAAAAAAGGGUGGUGUCUUCAAGCGCCGGGAGAGUGCAAGCCCUGUCCGGUAUUUGCCGGCAUUUCUGGGGGGGCACUCUCGGGAGUCCGGCGGGGCAAACUGAGGAGAGGGGGGGUGAUACGCCGGGGGAACGUGCCCUUUACGCCAAGGUCUAAACACGGGUUAGGGUGGGGCGUAAAGGGCCCUGCAAUCGCGGGGAAAAGGGCAUAUCCCCAAAACCGGGCCCCGGUCGGGUUGGUUUUCUUCACCCGGGGGGACUCAAGCACCGUAUUUCUCUUGUUUGAGGGGGAGUAGCCAUAGCUGCUGUGAAAAUUCGGAUCG